RNAcentral lists this unclassified non-coding RNA (1116 nucleotides) under Paraboeremia clausa. Its description in RNAcentral is "sequence contains 28S rRNA gene". The stretch from base 198 to 1116 matches the Rfam family "Eukaryotic large subunit ribosomal RNA", at positions 1 to 938 of the family's 3401-position model. The record is from RNAcentral. Lineage: Eukaryota; Fungi; Ascomycota; Dothideomycetes; Pleosporales; Didymellaceae.
GCCCUUGGUAUUCCAUGGGGCAUGCCUGUUCGAGCGUCAUUUGUCCCUUCAAGCUCUGCUUGGUGUUGGGUGUUUGUCUCGCCUUGCGCGUAGACUCGCCUUAAAACAAUUGGCAGCCGGCGUAUUGAUUUCGGAGCGCAGUACAUCUCGCGCUUUGCACUCAUAACGACGACGUCCAACAGUACUUUUUACACUCUUGACCUCGGAUCAGGUAGGGAUACCCGCUGAACUUAAGCAUAUCAAUAAGCGGAGGAAAAGAAACCAACAGGGAUUGCCCUAGUAACGGCGAGUGAAGCGGCAACAGCUCAAAUUUGAAAUCUGGCGUCUUUGGCGUCCGAGUUGUAAUUUGCAGAGGGCGCUUUGGCAUUGGCAGCGGUCCAAGUUCCUUGGAACAGGACGUCACAGAGGGUGAGAAUCCCGUACGUGGUCGCUAGCCUUUACCGUGUAAAGCCCCUUCGACGAGUCGAGUUGUUUGGGAAUGCAGCUCUAAAUGGGAGGUAAAUUUCUUCUAAAGCUAAAUACUGGCCAGAGACCGAUAGCGCACAAGUAGAGUGAUCGAAAGAUGAAAAGCACUUUGGAAAGAGAGUUAAAAAGCACGUGAAAUUGUUGAAAGGGAAGCGCUUGCAGCCAGACUUGCCUGUAGUUGCUCAUCCGGGUUUUUACCCGGUGCACUCUUCUAUAGGCAGGCCAGCAUCAGUUUGGGCGGUUGGAUAAAGGUCUCUGUCAUGUACCUCUCUUCGGGGAGAACUUAUAGGGGAGACGACAUGCAACCAGCCUGGACUGAGGUCCGCGCAUCUGCUAGGAUGCUGGCGUAAUGGCUGUAAGCGGCCCGUCUUGAAACACGGACCAAGGAGUCUAACAUCUAUGCGAGUGUUUGGGUGUCAAGCCCGAGCGCGUAAUGAAAGUGAACGGAGGUGGGAACCUUUCGGGGUGCACCAUCGACCGAUCCUGAUGUCUUCGGAUGGAUUUGAGUAAGAGCAUAGCUGUUGGGACCCGAAAGAUGGUGAACUAUGCUUGAAUAGGGUGAAGCCAGAGGAAACUCUGGUGGAGGCUCGCAGCGGUUCUGACGUGCAAAUCGAUCGUCAAAUUUGGGCAUAGGGGCGAAAGACUAAUCGA